UGGGGGACGGAAGAAAAAAAAAAAAAACGAAUGCGAAGGAAACAAAAAAAAAUUCACUUUAGUGAAGCAUUAUAAUGGAAAAUUUCCCCCUAAACACAAAAAACGACGCCCUUGAUAUCCCCUUUUCUCUUUCUCAAGCCGCCUAAGCGAUCUGCAGGUUCUUAGUGUCAGAGCUGUAGUUACAUCUUGGAGGAGGAAAGGGGCCGGGAGGAGAAGAUAAAUAAUCGGGACGUUGGAAGUCACGUUUGUGCCGCUGCAGCAGGGAAAGCGGCAGGGACAACUCCAGCAGCGGCGGCGGCUCCGGCGGCAGCAGCAGCGGCGGCGGCGGCGGCGGCGGCGAGGGCUGCACGCACCGUGUGUGUCUCCGCUCCUCCAGCUCCCCCCUAACCAAUGAGAACAGCUCUCCGCCAGCAACUUUAAAUGGACCUGGCUCUUUUUUUUUUUUUUUUUCUGUUGUUAAUAUAUAUGUCUGCGUGCGUGUGCGCGCGCGCGCGCGCGUGUAUGUGUGUGUGUAUAUAUAUAUGUAUGUGUGUGUGUAUAUAUACACACACGGACACACGCACACACAUACAUGCGUACACCGCCUAGGGCUCGCCCUUAAUUCCCAACCGGGGCAGCAGCCGUAGCGCCCGGCCCCUCGCCGCGCUCAGCACAUGCAACAGGCCUCGCUAAACACUCCACGCCGGUCAAGCGUCAUGCGCUUCCCUCUCCCACUCCCCACCCCUCUUCCCACCUCCCGUCUUUUGGCAUUCAAGCGCGGCCACCGGGCACCAAGGUCGCCGCGAGCUGUACGCCGUAACCCGCCCUGGGAGUUUGACGACGGUCCCUCAGAGCGCACCACGCUCGAUCGCCGUGCCCUGCCCCCCUCCCCGCCCCGCUGCAGCCUCCUCUCUCCUCCCGCCUGCCAAGGGCUCUCCUUCCGCUCGGUCUCUGCGCCCGCCGCGCCUCCCACGGCUUCGGCACGCAUGAGGGGCCCGCCGCGCUGGCAGCACCUGAAGGCAUCCUGCCCCACAGCCAUGUAA
This 1022-nucleotide long non-coding RNA is filed under the name Corvus moneduloides (New Caledonian crow). RNAcentral's name for it is "lncRNA (ENSCMUG00000019998.1)". Lineage: Eukaryota; Metazoa; Chordata; Aves; Passeriformes; Corvidae. The record is from RNAcentral.